UUCCAGCUCCAAUAGCGUAUAUUAAAGUUGUUGCGGUUAAAAAGCUCGUAGUCGAAUCUGUGUCCCGCGCCGCCGGUUCAUCGUCCGCGGUGUUAACUGGCGUGUCGCGGGACGUCCUGCCGGUGGGCUUAGCUCGCGAGAGCGGCCCAACUCAAUCCCGCCGCGGUGCUCUUCACUGAGUGUCGAGGUGGGCCGGCACGUUUACUUUGAACAAAUUAGAGUGCUUAAAGCAGGCUAAAACUUCGCCUGAAUACUGUGUGCAUGGAAUAAUGGAAUAGGACCUCGGUUCUAUUUUGUUGGUUUUCGGAACCCCGAGGUAAUGAUUAAUAGGAACGGAUGG
Molecule: ribosomal RNA, 340 nt
Filed under: Thranius simplex
Lineage: Eukaryota; Metazoa; Arthropoda; Insecta; Coleoptera; Cerambycidae
Description: SSU rRNA
Rfam family: Eukaryotic small subunit ribosomal RNA
Source: RNAcentral